CCUACGGGGGGCAGCAGUGAGGAAUAGUGGACAAUGGACGAGAGUCUGAACCAGCCAAGUAGCGUGAAGGAUGACUGCCCUAUGGGUUGUAAACUUCUUGUAUAUGGGAAUAAAAUGUUCCACGUGUGGGAUUUUGUAUGUACCAUAUGAAUAAGGAUCGGCUAACUCCGUGCCAGCAGCCGCGGUAAUACGGAGGAUCCGAGCGUUAUCCGGAUUUAUUGGGUUUAAAGGGAGCGUAGGUGGAUUGUUAAGUCAGUUGUGAAAGUUUGCGGCUCAACCGUAAAAUUGCAGUUGAAACUGGCAGUCUUGAGUACAGUAGAGGUGGGCGGAAUUCGUGGUGUAGCGGUGAAAUGCUUAGAUAUCACGAAGAACUCCGAUUGCGAAGGCAGUUCACUGGACUGCAACUGACACUGAGGCUCGAAAGUGUGGGUAUCAAACAGGAUUAGAUACCCCUGUAGUC
RNAcentral lists this ribosomal RNA (460 nucleotides) under uncultured bacterium. RNAcentral's name for it is "partial 16S ribosomal RNA". It matches the Rfam family "Bacterial small subunit ribosomal RNA", at positions 338 to 795 of the family's 1533-position model. The record is from RNAcentral.